Molecule: unclassified non-coding RNA, 432 nt
Filed under: soil metagenome
Description: partial contains 5.8S ribosomal RNA, internal transcribed spacer 2, and large subunit ribosomal RNA
Rfam family: 5.8S ribosomal RNA (bases 1-120)
Source: RNAcentral
GAUGAAGAACGCAGCGAAAUGCGAUACGUAAUGUGAAUUGCAGAAUUCAGUGAAUCAUCGAAUCUUUGAACGCAUAUUGCGCUCUCUGGUAUUCCGGAGAGCAUGCUUGUUUGAGUAUCAGUAAACACCUCAACUUCCAUAUCUUUUUUGAAAUGGGAGUUGGACUUGAGUGAUCCCAACGCUUUUCCUCACCGAAAAGUGGCGGGUUACUUGAAAUGCAGGUGCAGCUGGACUUUUCUCUGAGCUAUAAGCAUAUCUAUUUAGUCUGCCUAAAAAACAGAUUAUUACCUUUGCUGCAGCUAACAUAAAGGAGAUUAGUUCUUGUGCUGACUGAUGCAGGAUUCACAAAGACGGCUUCGGCCGACUUUGUAAACUCGAUCUAAAAUCAAGUAAGACUACCCGCUGAACUUAAGCAUAUCAAUAAGCGGAGGA